GUAACCCUUAGUGAUACUUAUUCACUGCACCACACCUUCCUCCAGGUGCCUCUGCCCUUGGAGUGCAUGUGUGAACCAAUUCAAUCAUAAGGGGGAAUCCAAGCCUUUACAAUGCCGUAGGACCUGAGAUGUCCAGCCCAAGAGUGCCAGAUGCACACCCCCUCAGGCCCCUCCUCAGGCCCCUCUUCAGGCAUGUGUGCCAUGCUUCAGAACAUGCCCGAGGCAGCACUUGGUGGGAUUAUUCUGGAAACUCGGCCCCUGGGAUUGUGUUACCAAAAUGAGACGGUCAAAUGCAGUGAAAUGGCCUGAGUGACAAGGGCUGCUGUUAGUCUACCCGUGAUGUUUCCUUACUGAUAUGUUAUUCAUUGUUGAUGUUUGUAACUCUUGUCACAAUUAAUGGUGGAAUAAUCCUUUCCUAUUCUGUAGUCAUAUUCAGAGAAUUGAUCACAGUCUUCAAGCGGUCCAUGUGUUUUUACACAGUCCUGGCUCUGUAAAUGGGAAAGAAAUAUGGUGGCUCAGACCAUGCCUUAAGAGCCAUGAACAAUCUCAACCAAUCAACACACAUGCCUCAAGAGCACGCAAGGGAGGGGUGUAAUAUGAUUGGCUGCUGUGUGCAAAAAAUCUAUAACCUUUUGUAAAACCAAAUCAUGGACUGCAUCUUGUGUACACGUACUGCACAUCUGCAUGAAUUUACAUAAUGACCUGAAGACAAAAUAGACAAAACACAAGACAUUAGUGCAGGCACACACUUCUCCAGAGACAUUACAGGCACACACUUCUCCAGAGAAACUUUCAACUUGGACAAAGGCCUUUGAGUCCUGCCCCCUAUGCCUCUCAGGCUCAUCUUACAUGCACUGCAGGUGUCACUGAGUGAAAUGAAAUCGUACUCCAAUCCAUGUAAUGCAGAAUAUUUACAAUGUAAGUUUAUGUUUAUGUUUGUUUAUGUUUAUGCAUGUAGCUGACGCUUUUAUCCAGAGCGACUUACCAAUUGCAGGAGCCAGUCUCCCUGGAGCAACUUAAGUGCCUUGCUCAAGGACACAAUGGUGGCAGUUGGG
Alosa alosa (allis shad) is the source of this 1055-nucleotide long non-coding RNA. RefSeq lists it as uncharacterized. NCBI's taxonomy places the organism in Eukaryota, Metazoa, Chordata, Actinopteri, Clupeiformes, Clupeidae. The record is from RefSeq and is a predicted model, not a curated record. The transcript is spliced from 3 exons.